UUGAACGCUGGCGGCAUGGCUAAAGCAUGCAAGUCGAACGAGAACCUUCGGGUGAAAGUGGCGAAAGGGCGAGGAAUACGAUCGAACGUACCCCAAGGUGGGGGAUAGCGUCGGGAAACUGGCGGUAAUACCCCAUGUGCUCUACGGAGGAAAGGCCACCCUUAAAAGUGGGCGCCUCGGGAGCGGCGAUCGUCCUAUCAGGUAGUUGGUGAGGUAAAGGCUCACCAAGCCGAAGACGGGUAGCGGGUGUGAGAGCAUGACCCGCCGCAUCGGAACUGAGACACUGUCCGGACUCCUACGGGAGGCUGCAGCGACGAAUCUUCCGCAAUGGGCGAAAGCCUGACGGAGCAAUGCCGCGUGUGGGAUGAAGCGCCUUCGGCGUGUAAACCACUGUCAGGUUCCAGGAACACUGACCGGAACCAGAGGAAGGGCCGGCUAACCCUGU
RNAcentral lists this ribosomal RNA (445 nucleotides) under uncultured bacterium. Its description in RNAcentral is "bacterial SSU rRNA". It matches the Rfam family "Bacterial small subunit ribosomal RNA", at positions 29 to 506 of the family's 1533-position model. The record is from RNAcentral.